This 316-nucleotide unclassified non-coding RNA is filed under the name Hevea brasiliensis (rubber tree). The record is from RNAcentral. Lineage: Eukaryota; Viridiplantae; Streptophyta; Magnoliopsida; Malpighiales; Euphorbiaceae.
AACAUGGCUGCUUGUUGGGAGAGCAGAUUCAGCUUCCCUUUCCAUACCAAAAAAAACAUACCCUGUAUAUAAUAAUUGCAGUUCUCAAUGGAGAAGACAGACCUUGAACUUGCUGUUGCUGCCCGUACCGUCUGUGCUUAAACGACAUCGUGAUUGCAACUACACAUUGGGGUACUUAACGCCAAGCAACAGGCAUCAGUGCUAGCACAUCUUGGUGAAAGAACGGAAAUCUCUCACAUUAUAUAACGGUUUAUUUUAUCUUGUCUACAUUUUUGAGAUGUUUGGAUCCCAUCUGUGCUUCCCAACUCGGUCUGAU